This 403-nucleotide ribosomal RNA is filed under the name uncultured bacterium. Its description in RNAcentral is "partial 16S ribosomal RNA". It matches the Rfam family "Bacterial small subunit ribosomal RNA", at positions 28 to 526 of the family's 1533-position model. The record is from RNAcentral.
GACGAACGCUGGCGGCGUGCUUAAUACAUGCAAGUCGAACGCAGUGGGGACGGGUGAGUAACACGUGGGUAACCUCCCAUCAGAGGGGAUAACACUUGGAAACAGGUGCUAAACCGAUACUGAUGGAUGGACCUGCGGUGCAUUAGCUAGUUGGUGAGGUAAGGGCCCACCAAGGCCACGAAGCAUAGCCGACCUGAGAGGGUGAUCAGCCACACUGGGACUGAGACACGGCCCAGACGCCUACGGGAGGCAGCAGUGGGGAAUCUUCGACAAUGGGCGAAAGUCUGACGGAGCAACGCCGCGUGAGUGAAGAAGGUUUUCGGAUCGUAAAACUCUGUUAGUAGGGAGGCGGUAUCUAACGAAGAAGCCACGGCUAACUACGUGCCAGCCGCCGCGGUAAUUC